Small nucleolar RNA from Ornithorhynchus anatinus (platypus), 137 nucleotides. The record is from RefSeq and is a predicted model, not a curated record. NCBI's taxonomy places the organism in Eukaryota, Metazoa, Chordata, Mammalia, Monotremata, Ornithorhynchidae.
CCCCUCUCAGGAUCAUUCCUGGAGAGUUUCCAGUACUCUACCAGUCUCGGCUAAGGAGGGAGAGUCAAGCAGAGGCACACCCGUUCCAUUUCUAUCUUGGGCAGUAGCUAGCGAGUGGAAAGCCAUCUGCUACAGGU